RNAcentral lists this ribosomal RNA (301 nucleotides) under uncultured bacterium. Its description in RNAcentral is "partial 16S ribosomal RNA". It matches the Rfam family "Bacterial small subunit ribosomal RNA", at positions 509 to 807 of the family's 1533-position model. The record is from RNAcentral.
CAGCCGCCGCGGUAAUGCGAAGGGGGCUAGCGUUGUUCGGAUUUACUGGGCGUAAAGCGCACGUAGGCGGACUUUUAAGUCAGGGGUGAAAUCCCGGGGCUCAACCCCGGAACUGCCUUUGAUACUGGAAGUCUUGAGUAUGGUAGAGGUGAGUGGAAUUCCGAGUGUAGAGGUGAAAUUCGUGGAUAUUCGGAGGAACACCAGUGGCGAAGGCGGCUCACUGGACCAUUACUGACGCUGAGGUGCGAAAGCGUGGGGAGCAAACAGGAUUAGAUACCCGGGUAGUCCCUGUCUCUUAUAC